UAAUACGGAGGAUCCAAGCGUUAUCCGGAUUUAUUGGGUUUAAAGGGUGCGUAGGCGGCGUUGUAAGUCAGUGGUGAAAGUUUGCAGCUUAACUGUAAAAUUGCCAUUGAUACUGCAGUGCUUGAGUACAGAUGAGGUGGGCGGAAUGUGUCAUGUAGCGGUGAAAUGCAUAGAUAUGACACAGAACACCGAUUGCGAAGGCAGCUCACUAAACUGUAACUGACGCUGAGGCACGAAAGCGUGGGGAUCAAACAGG
This 256-nucleotide ribosomal RNA is filed under the name uncultured bacterium. Its description in RNAcentral is "partial 16S ribosomal RNA". It matches the Rfam family "Bacterial small subunit ribosomal RNA", at positions 521 to 776 of the family's 1533-position model. The record is from RNAcentral.